RNAcentral lists this ribosomal RNA (400 nucleotides) under uncultured bacterium. RNAcentral's name for it is "bacterial SSU rRNA". It matches the Rfam family "Bacterial small subunit ribosomal RNA", at positions 355 to 746 of the family's 1533-position model. The record is from RNAcentral.
UAGGGAAUAUUGCGCAAUGGAGGAAACUCUGACGCAGCGACGCCGCGUGGGUGACGAAGGCCUUCGGGUCGUAAAGCCCUGUCGGAAGAGAAGAAAAACGGUAUGGCUAAUAUCCAUACCGCUUGACGGUACCUUCAAAGGAAGCACCGGCUAACUACGUGCCAGCAGCCGCGGUAAUACGUAGGGUGCUAGCGUUGUUCGGAAUCAUUGGGCGUAAAGCGCGUGUAGGUGGUUAGGUAAGUUAGGUGUGAAAGCCCUCGGCUCAACCGAGGAAGUGCAUCUAAAACUACCUAGCUAGAGGACGGUAGAGGAAGGUGGAAUUCCUAGUGUAGAGGUGAAAUUCGUAGAUAUUAGGAGGAAUACCGGUGGCGAAGGCGGCCUUCUGGGCCGUUCCUGACAC